ACAAACCUCUGAUAAAUGUCUCUUAGCCCUGACUCAGUAUUUCCUUCCCCUUCCCUGAGUCUUUGCUAACUGAAACACACAAUUUGAAGUGUUUCAAUACUUAUUUAAACUGUCUCUAACAAUAAGGCUUAAUAAUUAAUUUAUUGAAUUCUAUUAUUUCCUUAGUCAACCUAAAAUGUUGACCCUCGAUGCACUCUAGGUAAAUUAGGUUUAAUGUUACUAAUAUAUCACAUUUUAUAGCCCUUUAGUGU
This 251-nucleotide unclassified non-coding RNA is filed under the name Hevea brasiliensis (rubber tree). The record is from RNAcentral. Lineage: Eukaryota; Viridiplantae; Streptophyta; Magnoliopsida; Malpighiales; Euphorbiaceae.